Molecule: ribosomal RNA, 253 nt
Filed under: uncultured bacterium
Lineage: Bacteria
Description: partial 16S ribosomal RNA
Rfam family: Bacterial small subunit ribosomal RNA
Source: RNAcentral
UACGGAGGAUGCAAGCGCUAUCCGGAAUGAUUGGGCGUAAAGCGUCCGCAGGUGGCAAUGUAAGUCUGCUGUCAAAGCGUCUGGCUCAACCAGAUAAAGGCAGUGGAAACUACAUAGCUAGAGUAAGGUAGGGGUAGAGGGAAUUCCUGGUGUAGCGGUGAAAUGCGUAGAGAUCAGGAAGAACACCGGUGGCGAAAGCGCUCUGCUGGACCUUAACUGACACUGAGGGACGAAAGCUAGGGGAGCGAAUGGG